RNAcentral lists this small nuclear RNA (22 nucleotides) under Arabidopsis thaliana (thale cress). Its description in RNAcentral is "snRNA_09126". The record is from RNAcentral. Lineage: Eukaryota; Viridiplantae; Streptophyta; Magnoliopsida; Brassicales; Brassicaceae.
AGCCCGGGCGGAGCGGCCGUCG